RNAcentral lists this unclassified non-coding RNA (407 nucleotides) under Hevea brasiliensis (rubber tree). Lineage: Eukaryota; Viridiplantae; Streptophyta; Magnoliopsida; Malpighiales; Euphorbiaceae. The record is from RNAcentral.
CCCGCAGAAAGACUUUGUUGGUCUCAACCUUUUCAAGGAAGACAAGAAAUGGUUGCUGAAAUGCUCUUAAAUUACUGUUGAUUGAAGAAGGGUGUAUGUGAACCUCUCUUCUUCCAUCAUACCAGACUGGAUGAACCUUUAUUGCAGAACUACUGGACUGUUUAAGGCUGUUGAUAGCUGUUGUGGUAAUGCCUUGUUCAGUGGCAGGAACAUUUGGGGAUAAUCCUGCACAUAAAAUUGCCUUCACAAUUGAGGAAUGAUGUGAAUACAUGUUGAAUGGCUGUGAUUUGUCUGACAACCAACCACCGAGAUUGUCUUUGUUUCUUCCUAUAAUCUGAUAAUUUUUUGGAAGAUUAAUAAACCCAAUGUCUGCUAGCAGCGUUCCAAAUUGUAUCCUCAUAUCUCUU